Carassius gibelio (silver crucian carp) is the source of this 292-nucleotide long non-coding RNA. RefSeq lists it as uncharacterized. Lineage: Eukaryota; Metazoa; Chordata; Actinopteri; Cypriniformes; Cyprinidae. The transcript has 3 exons. The record is from RefSeq and is a predicted model, not a curated record.
GCGAUAAUACUCCAAAGGAGUGAGAGAUCAUUAAUUGGACGAAGAAGAAGACGACUGCACAUGCUAGUUACUUGGUUCAGAUAGCAGGUUCAUUAAUUUGCACGUGGCUGGAUAAGAGAAUGAUAAGAAUGUUUCUUUGAAGAGUGCAGUGGACAUGCAGUGGAAGUGAUUCCAAGAGAGUUUCAUUGUGGAACACCCCUGUCGCUUCUGUAUGGUGAAGAAGAGCGAAAUCCAACAAAGAGAGGUACGGACAGGAGCAUUUGAAUCCAGGACCAAGCUAAAUCACGAAAGG